UUGGGUUUAUAUUACACAUUAUAAUGCUUCUUUUAUUUUUCCAGAAUUUUACAAUAAAAGUAAAUGAUAUAGAAAAAAACGUUAAAAUAAGAGUGAUAGAUGGGACCUCACGAACGAAUGGAGAUGAAAUAGCAUCAUCAUCAUCAUCAUCAUCAUCAUCAUCAUCAUCAUCAUCAUCAUCAUCAUCAUCAGGAUUAUACAUUGUGAGACGAAUCCCUCCUAAAUGGUCGCUGACGGAGGCACAAAAUAGUAAAGAGUUAUAUAUCGAACCACGAGAGCUUCGAGUUCGUCGGGAGACAACAUUGAUGUUUGAUGAACCGCAGGUGUGUGUGUGUGUGUGUGUGUGUGUGUGUGUGUGUGUGUGUGUGUGUGUGUGUGUGUGUGUGUGUUUGGUAUUUAAAUUAUUAAUUAUUUUAUAUAUUUUGGAUCCACAGAAACUACGAAUCGAAGAUCUCGAGGUAGUAGGUUUCAUAAAUAUACAAAAAAAAAUAAAAA
Molecule: long non-coding RNA, 495 nt
Organism: Solenopsis invicta (red fire ant)
Lineage: Eukaryota; Metazoa; Arthropoda; Insecta; Hymenoptera; Formicidae
Exons: 2
Source: RefSeq, a predicted model, not a curated record